AGCUGCCCUCGGAGACCCCCUUCCUCUCUCAUCCUGGAUCCACGGCGAGCGAGGCAGAGCUCACAGAUCACAGCUAACACACUGAACAGCUGACCACGGGAUCGCCGAUAAGAGGAAUAGCAGCAGACAAGGUGACCCGAUCUGCACGCCGACCCCAUGAACCGCUGCUCGACAUUCAUGAGAACACUGUAAUCGGAAGAGAAGAAGAGGAGCAUGGGAAGCAGAGCCCAGUCGGCACGAUAUCACCACCGAGGUGAUGAGGCGCCAGGAGCUCCAGGACGGGGUCGUGCAGCUUUAAGGGGCCACUCGGUCCCACCGUCUCACUCGCAUGAGCCAUUUAUCUUCGUACGUGAUUCAUCUUCACGUGAUUUGCAGAAUCUCUUUUUUCCAGAAGAGGCGAUGCCUGGACGCCUCAUGCCCACCGGGGCUCUUGUGGCUGUCGAGCCCGUCUCACUGAUUUCCGUCCUGGAGGAGAGUGUUUUCCCUUUGACCCACGGAUCCUCUCGCCUGAUCCAAAACUACGGGCACUUUGAGCCGCAAUUGAAUGUUUGGUCACGGUGGUAAGAAAAGAGGAAGGAGGAGAAGAAGAAGCAACGCGAAACACCGCCGUGUGAACGCGUCCGCCCUGUAAGCGUCGGAGUCGUACACCCCUCCGGCCUCUGGCCUCUGAUUGGGUUCCCCUGCCAGUGAUGUGGUCGCGUAUUGAUCGGCCGACAGUUGUACAACAACACUCUCUUUCUCGGGUUUUCUUUUCCCGCUUCUCUUUCAUACGCCUCGACACACGCGCGCCGGGUCAUCUGAUCCAGAUCAGAACCGUCACUUAAACUCUGAAUAAGAUCACAACCCGAGUUCAAAAAAACUCUCUCGCAUAAAGCUUUACAAUGUAGACGCAGACGGCGUGUUUCUUCUGUCACUCACACACACACACACACACAGAAAGACACACACUCGAUGGGUGUGUGUGAUCUUUUCUCCAGAGAGUCUGAUAGUCUGAUGCCCUGCAGGAAUGGCUAGCCAUACCUGGCCAUAGCUGCCUGCUCACUGCCUCGGGCUACUGCUUAGCAAUUCCACUCUGAAUACAAUGGGCUGCAGGCGUGCACACACACACACACACACACACACACACAGAAACCCAUACACAUCCAACAAACCUCUUUCAAAGCUGCUGUCCAGUAAUGAAUUUCCAGACCUUGGAAAGCUCCCUUCAAACAGGUACUAACAAAAAAAGACAGACUACUGCUUCAUCUCGCCCCACCUCCACCGUCUGCAUCUCAUAUCGCCUCAUGAAACCGAGACAAAGUGAAUUCAUGGAUCGAGAUCACCGAAAACCAGCAGUGCGCGACGAUAAAUCCUUCGAAUCAAUUUUUAAGAACGCGGAAACCUCAAAAUGUUCUUUGGCGGGACACAAACAUUUAAACGCGAGCGUCUGCGUAAGCUGCGUCUUCGUCGUCGCUUCACUUCUUCCCGCCCCCCCCCCCCCCCCCGGUUUACGGGAGGGACAUUUGUACUUAUUUGUUGUUUGACACCGGCUGGUCGUACAGCGGAGCGAGUCACGGGAAGAACAGCAUCCGCAUAUGAAGACAUGCCAAUCACAGCGCUCGGAGAAGAGAGCGAGGACGGGCGAGACGCUACGGCAACCUCUCCAAACCGCCGUUUGAAAAGAGAAUACAUUUCUGUCACACUCACUUCCCGUCUGCCUGUUUGAGUCUGAAAGAGGAGACACACACACAC
Long non-coding RNA from Pseudoliparis swirei, 1731 nucleotides. RefSeq lists it as uncharacterized. The transcript is spliced from 4 exons. NCBI's taxonomy places the organism in Eukaryota, Metazoa, Chordata, Actinopteri, Perciformes, Liparidae. The record is from RefSeq and is a predicted model, not a curated record.